GAGGGGGUGCCGGAGCGGCCAAAAUCCACUGCUUGUGCGGUGUUUGGCUAGACGGGACAGACUCAAGAUCUGUUGGCUUAGUGCCUACNNGCCUACUAGGGUUCAAAUCCCUACCCCCUCA
RNAcentral lists this transfer RNA (121 nucleotides) under Candidatus Woesearchaeota archaeon. RNAcentral's name for it is "tRNA-Leu". Lineage: Archaea; Nanobdellati; Candidatus Woesearchaeota. The record is from RNAcentral.